RNAcentral lists this ribosomal RNA (375 nucleotides) under uncultured organism. Its description in RNAcentral is "partial 16S ribosomal RNA". It matches the Rfam family "Bacterial small subunit ribosomal RNA", at positions 527 to 896 of the family's 1533-position model. The record is from RNAcentral.
GGAGGGUGCGAGCGUUGUUCGGAAUUACUGGGCGUAAAGAGCUUGUAGGCGGCUUGCUAAGUCUGAUGUGAAAUCCCUUGGCUCAACCGAGGAAGUGCAUUGGAUACUGGUGAGCUUGAGUAUGGGAGAGGAGAGCGGAAUUCCCGGUGUAGAGGUGAAAUUCGUAGAUAUCGGGAGGAACACCUGUGGCGAAGGCGGCUCUCUGGACCAAUACUGACGCUGAGAAGCGAAAGCGUGGGGGGAGCAAACAGGAUUAGAUACCCUGGUAGUCCACGCCCGUAAACGAUGGGUACUAGGUGUUGGGGGUUUUACUCCUCCCAGUGCCGGCGCUAACGCACUAAGUACCCCCGCCUGGGAAGUACGGCCGCAAGGCUA